GACGAACGCUGGCGGCGUGCUUAACACAUGCAAGUCGAACGGAAAGGCCCUGCUUUUGUGGGGUGCUCGAGUGGCGAACGGGUGAGUAACACGUGAGUAACCUGCCCUUGACUUUGGGAUAACUUCAGGAAACUGGGGCUAAUACCGGAUAGGAGCUCCUGCUGCACGGUGGUGGUUGGAAAGUUUCGGCGGUUGGGGAUGGACUCGCGGCUUAUCAGCUUGUUGGUGGGGUAGUGGCUUACCAAGGCUUUGACGGGUAGCCGGCCUGAGAGGGUGACCGGCCACAUUGGGACUGAGAUACGGCCCAGACUCCUACGGGAGGCAGCAGUGGGGAAUAUUGCACAAUGGGCGGAAGCCUGAUGCAGCAACGCCGCGUGCGGGAUGACGGCCUUCGGGUUGUAAACCGCUUUCGCCUGUGACGAAGCGGGAGUGACGGUAAUGGGUAAAGAAGCACCGGCUAACUACGUG
This 468-nucleotide ribosomal RNA is filed under the name uncultured bacterium. RNAcentral's name for it is "partial 16S ribosomal RNA". It matches the Rfam family "Bacterial small subunit ribosomal RNA", at positions 28 to 507 of the family's 1533-position model. The record is from RNAcentral.